RNAcentral lists this ribosomal RNA (305 nucleotides) under uncultured bacterium. Its description in RNAcentral is "partial 16S ribosomal RNA". It matches the Rfam family "Bacterial small subunit ribosomal RNA", at positions 508 to 809 of the family's 1533-position model. The record is from RNAcentral.
ACAGCAGUCGCCGCGGGAAUACGGAGGAUCCAAGCGUUAUCCGGAAUCAUUGGGUUUAAAGGGUCCGUAGGCGGUCUUGUAAGUCAGUGGUGAAAGCCCAUCGCUCAACGGUGGAACGGCCAUUGAUACUGCAGGACUUGAAUUAUUGGGAAGUAACUAGAAUAUGUAGUGUAGCGGUGAAAUGCUUAGAGAUUACAUGGAAUACCAAUUGCGAAGGCAGGUUACUACCAAUUGAUUGACGCUGAUGGACGAAAGCGUGGGUAGCGAACAGGAUUAGAUACCCCUGUAGUCCCUGUCUCUUAUAU